CAAAAUGGGAGGUAAAUUUCUCCUAAGGCUAAAUAUUGGCGAGAGACCGAUAGCGAACAAGUACCGUGAGGGAAAGAUGAAAAGAACUUUGAAAAGAGAGUAAAACAGUACGUGAAAUUGUUGAAAGGAAAACGAUUGAAGUCAGUCGUACCGACGUGAAAUCAACUCUUCGAGUGCGGGCUUGUGGGCUGCGAGUGUCUCGCUGUUUGCAACGUCUGUGCUUUUUGGAUGUACUUUUUCGUAUGGUAGGCCAACAUCAGUUUCGAUCAUUAUAAAAUGACUGGAAGAAUGUAGCUUCGAUUUCGGUUGAAGUGUUAUAGCCUUUGGUAGAUGUGGUGAUAGGGACUGAGGAUUGCAACGAAUACCCUUCGGGCUAUCCGUCUGACCUCUGAAAGUUGCUUAGGUGCCGAAAGCGUGCUUACGGUCAUUUAACACAACGGUCAAAAGGUUAGAACGUGAUUACA
Molecule: ribosomal RNA, 464 nt
Filed under: uncultured Glomeraceae
Lineage: Eukaryota; Fungi; Glomeromycota; Glomeromycetes; Glomerales; Glomeraceae
Description: eukaryotic LSU rRNA
Rfam family: Eukaryotic large subunit ribosomal RNA
Source: RNAcentral